CACGUAGGCGGAAAAUUAAGUCAGUAGUGAAAUCCUGCAGCUUAACUGUAGAACUGUUAUUGAUACUGGUUUUCUUGAAUGUAGUUGAGGUAGGCGGAAUAUGUAAUGUAGCGGUGAAAUGCUUAGAUAUUACAUAGAACACCGAUUGCGAAGGCAGCUUACUAAGCUACGAUUGACGCUGAGGUACGAAAGCGUGGGGAGCGAACAGGAUUAGAUACCCUGGUAGUCC
This 229-nucleotide ribosomal RNA is filed under the name uncultured bacterium. Its description in RNAcentral is "partial 16S ribosomal RNA". It matches the Rfam family "Bacterial small subunit ribosomal RNA", at positions 568 to 796 of the family's 1533-position model. The record is from RNAcentral.